AUUGAACGCUGGCGGCAGGCUUAACACAUGCAAGUCGAGCGGGGGGAUGGUGCUUGCACUAUCACUUAGCGGCGGACGGGUGAGUAAUGCUUAGGAAUCUGCCUAUUAUUGGGGGACAACAUCUCGAAAGGGAUGCUAAUACCGCAUACGUCCUACGGGAGAAAGCAGGGGAUCACUUGUGACCUUGCGCUAAUAGAUGAGCCUAAGUCGGAUUAGCUAGUUGGGGGGGUAAAGGCCUACCAAGGCGACGAUCUGUAGCGGGUCUGAGAGGUGGAUCCGCCACACUGGGACUGAGACACGGCCCAGACUCCUACGGGAGGCAGCAGUGGGGAAUAUUGGACAAUGGGGGGAACCCUGAUCCAGCCAUGCCGCGUGUGUGAAGGAGGCCUUAUGGUUGUAAAGCACUUUAAGCGAGGAGGAGGCUCUUUUGGUUAAUACCCAAGAUGAGUGGACGUUACUCGCAGAAUAAGCACCGGCUAACUCUGUGCCAGCAGCCGCGGUAA
This 503-nucleotide ribosomal RNA is filed under the name uncultured bacterium. Its description in RNAcentral is "partial 16S ribosomal RNA". It matches the Rfam family "Bacterial small subunit ribosomal RNA", at positions 30 to 523 of the family's 1533-position model. The record is from RNAcentral.